GACGAACGCUGGCGGCGUGCUUAACACAUGCCAGUCGAACGGUGAAGCGCCUUCCUUUUUGGUGGGUGUGGAUGAGUGGCGAACGGGUGAGUAACACGUGAGUAACCUGCCCCCUUCUUCUGGAUAACCGCAUGAAAGUGUGGCUAAUACGGGAUAUUCUGGGUCUGUCGCAUGAUGGGUCUGGGAAAGAUAUUGUUUCGGUGGGGGAUGGGCUCGCGGCCUAUCAGCUUGUUGGUGGGGUGAUGGCCUACCAAGGCGGUGACGGGUAGCCGGCCUGAGAGGGUGGACGGUCACACGGGGACUGAGACACGGCCCAGACUCCUACGGGAGGCAGCAGUGGGGAAUAUUGCACAAUGGGCGCAAGCCUGAUGCAGCGACGCCGCGUGAGGGAUGGAGGCCUGCGGGUUGUGAACCUCUUUCGCCAGUGAAGCAGGCCUGCCUCGUUUGUGGGUGGGUUGACGGUAGCUGGAGAAGAAGCGCCGGCUAACUACGUG
Molecule: ribosomal RNA, 494 nt
Filed under: uncultured bacterium
Lineage: Bacteria
Description: partial 16S ribosomal RNA
Rfam family: Bacterial small subunit ribosomal RNA
Source: RNAcentral